GGUUAAGCGACUAAGCGUACACGGUGGAUGCCCUGGCAGUCAGAGGCGAUGAAGGACGUGCUAAUCUGCGAUAAGCGUCGGUAAGGUGAUAUGAACCGUUAUAACCGGCGAUUUCCGAAUGGGGAAACCCAGUGUGUUUCGACACACUAUCAUUAACUGAAUCCAUAGGUUAAUGAGGCGAACCGGGGAACUGAAACAUCUAAGUACCCUGAGGAAAAGAAAUCAACCGAGAUUCCCCCAGUAGCGGCGAGCGAACGGGGAGGAGCCCAGAGCCUGAAUCAGUGUGUGUGUUAGUGGAAGCGUCUGGAAAGGCGCGCGAUACAGGGUGACAGCCCCGUACACAAAAAUGCACAUGCUGUGAGCUCGAUGAGUAGGGCGGGACACGUGGUAUCCUGUCUGAAUAUGGGGGACCAUCCUCCAAGGCUAAAUACUCCUGACUGACCGAUAGUGAACCAGUACCGUGAGGGAAAGGCGAAAAGAACCCCGGCGAGGGGAGUGAAAAAGAACCUGAAACCGUGUACGUACAAGCAGUGGGAGCCUCUUUAUGGGGUGACUGCGUACCUUUUGUAUAAUGGGUCAGCGACUUAUAUUCUGUAGCAAGGUUAACCGAAUAGGGGAGCCGAAGGGAAACCGAGUCUUAACUGGGCGUUAAGUUGCAGGGUAUAGACCCGAAACCCGGUGAUCUAGCCAUGGGCAGGUUGAAGGUUGGGUAACACUAACUGGAGGACCGAACCGACUAAUGUUGAAAAAUUAGCGGAUGACUUGUGGCUGGGGGUGAAAGGCCAAUCAAACCGGGAGAUAGCUGGUUCUCCCCGAAAGCUAUUUAGGUAGCGCCUCGUGAAUUCAUCUCCGGGGGUAGAGCACUGUUUCGGCAAGGGGGUCAUCCCGACUUACCAACCCGAUGCAAACUGCGAAUACCGGAGAAUGUUAUCACGGGAGACACACGGCGGGUGCUAACGUCCGUCGUGAAGAGGGAAACAACCCAGACCGCCAGCUAAGGUCCCAAAGUCAUGGUUAAGUGGGAAACGAUGUGGGAAGGCCCAGACAGCCAGGAUGUUGGCUUAGAAGCAGCCAUCAUUUAAAGAAAGCGUAAUAGCUCACUGGUCGAGUCGGCCUGCGCGGAAGAUGUAACGGGGCUAAACCAUGCACCGAAGCUGCGGCAGCGACGCUUAUGCGUUGUUGGGUAGGGGAGCGUUCUGUAAGCCUGCGAAGGUGUGCUGUGAGGCAUGCUGGAGGUAUCAGAAGUGCGAAUGCUGACAUAAGUAACGAUAAAGCGGGUGAAAAGCCCGCUCGCCGGAAGACCAAGGGUUCCUGUCCAACGUUAAUCGGGGCAGGGUGAGUCGACCCCUAAGGCGAGGCCGAAAGGCGUAGUCGAUGGGAAACAGGUUAAUAUUCCUGUACUUGGUGUUACUGCGAAGGGGGACGGAGAAGGCUAUGUUGGCCGGGCGACGGUUGUCCCGGUUUAAGCGUGUAGGCUGGUUUUCCAGGCAAAUCCGGAAAAUCAAGGCUGAGGCGUGAUGACGAGGCACUACGGUGCUGAAGCAACAAAUGCCCUGCUUCCAGGAAAAGCCUCUAAGCAUCAGGUAACAUCAAAUCGUACCCCAAACCGACACAGGUGGUCAGGUAGAGAAUACCAAGGCGCUUGAGAGAACUCGGGUGAAGGAACUAGGCAAAAUGGUGCCGUAACUUCGGGAGAAGGCACGCUGAUAUGUAGGUGAAGCGACUUGCUCGUGGAGCUGAAAUCAGUCGAAGAUACCAGCUGGCUGCAACUGUUUAUUAAAAACACAGCACUGUGCAAACACGAAAGUGGACGUAUACGGUGUGACGCCUGCCCGGUGCCGGAAGGUUAAUUGAUGGGGUUAGCGGUAACGCGAAGCUCUUGAUCGAAGCCCCGGUAAACGGCGGUACGUAACUAUAACGGUCCUAAGGUAGCGAAAUUCCUUGUCGGGUAAGUUCCGACCUGCACGAAUGGCGUAAUGAUGGCCAGGCUGUCUCCACCCGAGACUCAGUGAAAUUGAACUCGCUGUGAAGAUGCAGUGUACCCGCGGCAAGACGGAAAGACCCCGUGAACCUUUACUAUAGCUUGACACUGAACAUUGAGCCUUGAUGUGUAGGAUAGGUGGGAGGCUUUGAAGUGUGGACGCCAGUCUGCAUGGAGCCGACCUUGAAAUACCACCCUUUAAUGUUUGAUGUUCUAACGUUGGCCCCUGAUCGGGGUUGCGGACAGUGUCUGGUGGGUAGUUUGACUGGGGCGGUCUCCUCCUAAAGAGUAACGGAGGAGCACGAAGGUUGGCUAAUCCUGGUCGGACAUCAGGAGGUUAGUGCAAUGGCAUAAGCCAGCUUGACUGCGAGCGUGACGGCGCGAGCAGGUGCGAAAGCAGGUCAUAGUGAUCCGGUGGUUCUGAAUGGAAGGGCCAUCGCUCAACGGAUAAAAGGUACUCCGGGGAUAACAGGCUGAUACCGCCCAAGAGUUCAUAUCGACGGCGGUGUUUGGCACCUCGAUGUCGGCUCAUCACAUCCUGGGGCUGAAGUAGGUCCCAAGGGUAUGGCUGUUCGCCAUUUAAAGUGGUACGCGAGCUGGGUUUAGAACGUCGUGAGACAGUUCGGUCCCUAUCUGCCGUGGGCGCUGGAGAACUGAGGGGGCUGCUCCUAGUACGAGAGGACCGGAGUGGACGCAUCACUGGUGUUCGGGUUGUCAUGCCAAUGGCACUGCCCGGUAGCUAAAUGCGGAAGAGAUAAGUGCUGAAAGCAUCUAAGCACGAAACUUGCCCCGAGAUGAGUUCUCCCUGAGACUUUAAGUCUCCUGAAGGAACGUUGAAGACGACGACGUUGAUAGGCCGGGUGUGUAAGCGCAGCGAUGCGUUGAGCUAACCGGUACUAAUGAACCGUGAGGCUUAACCUU
RNAcentral lists this ribosomal RNA (2902 nucleotides) under Escherichia coli. Its description in RNAcentral is "23S ribosomal RNA". It matches the Rfam family "Bacterial large subunit ribosomal RNA". Lineage: Bacteria; Pseudomonadati; Pseudomonadota; Gammaproteobacteria; Enterobacterales; Enterobacteriaceae. The record is from RNAcentral.